GCCAGCGGCUGCAGCUGCCUGCUGUUCCCGCCGCUGCCCCCCUCUCCGUUCAGUCUCCGUGGCGCCUUCUUCUCCUCAGUCCGGACCUUCUUGGCCGACAGAGGACCCGAAAGCCGAAUUUCGCUGAUGCUCAGUCAGAGGAGAAAAUUUUAUGCGGAAUUCAGCCCUUCCUUCUGAAAGGCAACAGCCGUUGGACGGGAGGGACUAAAAAUCACUUGGUGUCCUGACAAGAUUUGUUACUGUUGCUAAGAUCGUCAACUCUAAAGCUUUAAGGGAGAUAACUUCCUGCAAACCCAGAAUUUUCGGAUUACUUCUAAACUUGAAGGUGCCUCAAAUUUUUAAAGGAAUGAAAGUAUUUACCUUUAAUACAUACCGAUGAAAAGUGAAAACUUUGUGGUUGGAAUUGACAGUCAGCAUGUGUCUUCAUGAAAAGUAGCAUUGUUGGAAGAGUGGACAGAGGAUGGGGCUGGAAAUCACUGCCUAGUAACCAGCUUUGUAACCUCAGUCACAGUGUUUCAUCUGUCGGAACCUCUGUUUUAUUUUAAUAAAUUCAGUUACAUGAUCACUAAGGUCUCUUACAUGCUCUUAACUUCUGCCAUAUCCAAGGAGCUUUUCAGAAUCACAAUGAAACCAUUAGAAUUAAAAUAGCCUCUUAAUUGUUGACCUUCCAGAUACAUAAAUGUGUCUCAUAUAUGUUAAUAUAGUACCUGGAAACUUGCACCAUUUAUUUUCUCAUCUCUCACAUAGAAGCCUGGAAAAUCCAAUUUGGUAAGGCCCCAGCUAAAGUGUACUCUCAUCCUUAUGAAUUUGUUUCUGCUUGCACUAUAUAUAGUCUUUUAUACUGUUAAACACCCUUAUCAGUCCUAACCCUAAAUUUGCAGAGCCUGGGCAAGAGUAUGGUUUGGAGGCUCACAUACCAUGUGUCUAAAUAUUUAAGUUAUAAAUC
Lontra canadensis (Northern American river otter) is the source of this 946-nucleotide long non-coding RNA. RefSeq lists it as uncharacterized. NCBI's taxonomy places the organism in Eukaryota, Metazoa, Chordata, Mammalia, Carnivora, Mustelidae. The record is from RefSeq and is a predicted model, not a curated record. The transcript is spliced from 3 exons.